UCAUAGUUAGUAGAGUAUAUAUUUAACUUCCAAUUAAAAGACCCCAUUAUAUUAUGGGACUAUGAA
RNAcentral lists this transfer RNA (66 nucleotides) under Benthodytes marianensis. RNAcentral's name for it is "tRNA-Gly". Lineage: Eukaryota; Metazoa; Echinodermata; Holothuroidea; Elasipodida; Psychropotidae. The record is from RNAcentral.